Molecule: long non-coding RNA, 507 nt
Filed under: Ananas comosus (pineapple)
Lineage: Eukaryota; Viridiplantae; Streptophyta; Magnoliopsida; Poales; Bromeliaceae
Description: long non-coding RNA (ACOM_LNC026896)
Source: RNAcentral
AAUUUUAAAUCAAAGAUAUUGAUCUUGUUUUAUAUAGUAUAAAGAAUUUUCUAUCAAAAUUUCACGUGAUUUGGAUAUUUCUACACCGUUAAACUUGCAAACGGCUCACUACGGCCAUGAAAUUUGUUGAUUUUGAGCCCAUUCAAUCACUAGGCAAACGAUAUCGAAAAAUAAUAAAAUUUAUUUUCUAGGUACUCCAAAUACUCUAGAUCAAGUUUAACGGAGCCGAUCGACGAUUCGAAAGUCGCAACAUCGAAAACGAGCUGGAAGCACGGAAGGCUCCGUACUUCCGAUAACAUAGUAGCCUCACUAUAUAUAUAUAUUCUCGAGCUUUUCGAAUCUAAUUCGAACGAGCCGAGUAAUACUCAAGCUCGGCUUGAAAUAAAUUUCGAGUCUUUUAUUUUGUUUAAGCUCGACUUAUUUAAUUUCGAGUCGAACUCGAGCGAGCCGAAUAUCGAGCCGAACAUGAGUCAAACACGAGCCGGCUCGGUCGUUUGCCAGCCCUAC